Long non-coding RNA from Herpailurus yagouaroundi (jaguarundi), 918 nucleotides. RefSeq lists it as uncharacterized. Lineage: Eukaryota; Metazoa; Chordata; Mammalia; Carnivora; Felidae. The record is from RefSeq and is a predicted model, not a curated record. The transcript is spliced from 2 exons.
CUCUCUCUGCCCCAUCCCCACUCAUGCUCUGUCUCUCUCUGUCUUAAAAAUAAAUAAAACAUUAAAAAAAAUUUAAAAAAGGAAAAGGUGUCCAGUGAAAUGUCUCACUCCCAGCCUUGUUCCAAUCCUCUUACUUCUUACUUUCGUCCCUGAAAGUCACCAUUGUCUAUAGUUUCUUAUACAGUUUCUUAUAAGAAAUAAUAGUUUCUUAUUAUUUCAGGUUUUCUUUAUGAAUCAACAAGCAAAUAUGAAUGCAGCACAUUAGACCCAUCAGGGUAAGUACACGGCAUUUAAGAACAACUAUGAGGUGGACAAAUAUAAUGUCAACUGGAUCCUCUUUAUCUGGCUGUGGUAGGCAGCUUCCAAGACGCUCCCAAUGAUCCCACGUCCCGGUAUUCAUGUCCUCAUGCACUCCCCUCCCCUGAGUGUGGCCGCACCGAGUGACUUGCUUCUAGUGAAUGGAGUAGGGCAAAAGGGAUGGGGUGUCACUUGCGAGUUCAGGUGACCUCUGCUUGUUGGCAUGCAUGCUCUUACUCUUCAUGCCUGCUUGCUUGGAUGGAAAAAGCUGCCAGGUUGUGAGCUGCUGUACGGAGAAAUCCCCAUGGCAGGGAGCUGAGGGGAACGUGCUGCCAACAGCCAAGGAAGAACUAAGGUCCUCAGCCCAGCCACCCAGGAAGAACUGAAUCUUGCCAGCAACCACAUGAGUGAACUUGGAAGUGGGUCUUUUCCCAGGUGCAUUUGGAUGGGACCUGAACGUAAAAGAAAGAGAAAGCGUGAAUCUCUGGGGAACCAAGCAGGGGUCAGGGAACACAUUCUCUAGUUGUUCUGAAGAAUUCUCUUUUGUGACAUCUGGGACCAGAGGCCUUCCAGUCUGGUGUAAGAACAUAAAAAAAUAAAGUUUGCAAUCUUGUUCUGUGA